Molecule: ribosomal RNA, 775 nt
Filed under: uncultured Neocallimastigales
Lineage: Eukaryota; Fungi; Neocallimastigomycota; Neocallimastigomycetes; Neocallimastigales
Description: partial large subunit ribosomal RNA
Rfam family: Eukaryotic large subunit ribosomal RNA
Source: RNAcentral
CGCAUCUGUGCAUGCAGCAUAUCAAUAAGCGGAGGAAAAGAAACUAACAAGGAUUCCCCUAGUAACGGCGAGUGAAGCGGGAAGAGCUCAAAUUUGAAAUCUUAAAGGGUUUCCCUUUACGAAUUGUAGUUUAAAGAAGUGUUUUCUGUUGAGGUUUUGGUAAAAGUUCUUUGGAAUAGGACAUCAUAGAGGGUGAGAAUCCCGUAUUUGACCUUUACUUUCAACUUUGUGAUACACUUUCAAAGAGUCGGAUUGUUUGGGAAUGCAGUCCAAAAUGGGUGGUAAAUUUCAUCUAAAGCUAAAUAUUGGCGAGAGACCGAUAGCGAACAAGUACCGUGAGGGAAAGAUGAAAAGAACUUUGAAAAGAGAGUUAAACAGUACGUGAAAUUGUCAAAAGGGAAGCGUUUGACACCAGUGUUGUUUUUCUGAAAAUCAAUUAAAGAACUGUUUAUGCUAAGCUGUUUAGACUUUAUCAGCUAUCUGUUUAGUUUUGAGCUUUUCUUUAAUGCACUUUUCAGUUAACAAGUCAACAUCAAUUUCUUUUGCUGUAAAAAAGCUUGAGGAAGGUGGCUUGAGAUUCGUCUUAAGUGUUUAUAGCCUCUUGCCUAUGCAUGUCGGAGAGAUUGAGGUCUGCAGCGUAGAUCCUUCGGGGCUAAAUGCAUUUGUGCUAAGUUAUAGCAUUUUAUAGACAACUUGUUGACUAUGAUUUGUCUUGUAGCUUACUCGCUUAUGUUAUUUUACCUACGCUUAGGAUGUUGAAUCUGUGCGAGACUAC